GUGCUAGCUUCAUCAGCACAUACACUAAAGUUGAAAGGAUGCAGAGAAGAUUAGCAUGGUCCCUGAGCAGGGAUGGCAUGCAAAUUCGUGAAGUGUUCCAUAUUUAA
Small nuclear RNA from Alexandromys fortis (reed vole), 107 nucleotides. The record is from RefSeq and is a predicted model, not a curated record. NCBI's taxonomy places the organism in Eukaryota, Metazoa, Chordata, Mammalia, Rodentia, Cricetidae.